AUCCAGAUGACGAGUCCCAAAUAGGACAAAAUGUGCAUCCUGGAU
This is a non-coding RNA of Schistosoma rodhaini, 45 nucleotides long. Lineage: Eukaryota; Metazoa; Platyhelminthes; Trematoda; Strigeidida; Schistosomatidae. The record is from Rfam.